Molecule: long non-coding RNA, 1655 nt
Organism: Equus caballus (horse)
Lineage: Eukaryota; Metazoa; Chordata; Mammalia; Perissodactyla; Equidae
Source: Ensembl
AGCUGAAAAUCACAUUAUUAAUGUCUUCAGCCACUUCCUGUCUUUCCUGAGGAGGCUUGUGGAAAACGCUCCGGGUUGCCUGCCUCCUGCAGAGACUGAUGAAUAUAAAAACUGUCCAGUAGUCUAAUCCGAGGGUAAUAAACACCAGUCAGCCUCCUAGUUUAUGCAGGUGAAUCCAGUCCUAACUGAUACCGGGCUUCCCAUUGAAAAGAGAUUUUCACAUAUUGAGGCAUAUGGGUAACUAUUCGAGUUCAAGACUGAUCCGGCUUGAACUAGAAAGCCUGACCUAUGGCCUAUCAAACAUUGUACAUCUGCUUAUCCAUUAAGUGAUGGUGUUCAAUGUCUACAGUGGGUGAGGAAGCAUGAAAAUGUAUCUCUGACACUCCACUCCAACUCUCCUGAGUAAAAUAUCAGCCAGGCGGGAAAGCCCAAAGCGCCUGUCUGUCUACUCAGGUUGUCAGGGGCAGCGGGAGAUCUGUGGAUUCCCCGGAGGAACAGCACCUCUGAACACCUGCAGUCCUGGGAGGGGCAUCAAUCUUCCGGGCCCAGCAGAAUGUCAGACGGCUGCCCAGCCAGGAGAAGGCUGACACCUACAGGCUGGGAGACAGAGAGCAGAGGAGAUUUCCCAGGGCACCGAAAGAGAACGGGCAUUUUGCUGUCCAUUGCAAGCCUACCAGAGCAGAGUGCUAUGUCCCCCCACCAGCCUGUCCUGGCCACCCAGGGUCAAGAGGAACACGAGAAGGCAAAGAAAACUGACAGCACACCUCCCGUAAGACGAACAAAGCAAAUGGAGGAAGACACAGCGGAAUAACUCAUGGGGACCCCUGGCAAAAUCGAACUGCCAGACGAGAGAAAAGAUGACUUUAAUAAAUAAUAAUAGCACUUAAGGAGAUUCCAUUAAAACAUAAAAAGACUCUAGGCAACUAAAAAAUAUUAUUUUCAAAGUAAAAACAAUUUCAUAGAUUAAUGAGAGAAGAGGAUGGUCAUUUUUGAGCACUGAAUUAGUGUCCUGAAAAAAUAAAUGGAAGAAAUACUUUUAAACACAGGUCACAGAGAAAAAGACAGUAUGUCUUUUAGAAUUCAGUUGCAAAUACAAAAAUCACUGUCGUUGUUUUAAGCAGAAAGGAAUUUCAUAGGAGGAAAUGGGUGUUUGCAAAAUUGUGAGGUGCUAGGUUAAGCCCCAGAACUAACCCAACAAGUUACCACCUCUGCCACAGUCGGAAAGAUGGGAGCCACUGGCCCCAGUGCGGACUCCAGGACCCCCACCUCAGCCUGGUGCCAACAGAGAGGGUGCCUAUGCUAUGCCUCUCAAUACCCACAGCUAGUAGCCAGAGGCUAGGGCUCUGUCACUGCUGCCGCAAGAAAAGCAAAGGCCUCCACAGCUGUGCAGCAAAGGCAGUAAUCCCCCUCGCUCCGCCUCCUGCCUGGGUUCCUAUGCUUGGUGGAAGCCAGGUUAAAGGCAGAACCCAAGCUGAAAGAAAGUCUGAGAAAGGUGGCCUUUGAUUUUCCUAAAUCUAACAUACAUGAAAACACAUUAGAAGUUUAGAAUCAUAUUACCUGCCAUAGAUGAUGUAGUGGACGUUUGUCACUAAUGCCUGUCUGGCAGAAUCCCCCACAAUUCUGUACUUCACCAAUUUUAGGAUGUAUUUCACCAA